Nomia melanderi (Alkali bee) is the source of this 315-nucleotide long non-coding RNA. RefSeq lists it as uncharacterized. NCBI's taxonomy places the organism in Eukaryota, Metazoa, Arthropoda, Insecta, Hymenoptera, Halictidae. The record is from RefSeq and is a predicted model, not a curated record.
AGUUCAUCGCACGAGCCCAAGAGUAACGGCAUCAAUCCUUCGGUUGGAUCUUCGUCGCUGCAGAAUUUGGUGAAGUAAAUAAUUUCGACGUGUCCUAUGAUCUUCUAAGUUUAUUACCUACGACCGUCAGGACUUUAGGAACCACUGGCCAUCCGACGAUCACACGCGACAGCCAGAGCAAGCGGUACCUGAGAAAAUCCAACAAGCGAGCAAGUCCUCGCCCGAACGGUUACAUAUUUUCCAGGAAGCUAGGACAGUAAUCAUUUGCAACACUGAUUGCUCACCCAUUUGGAUGACCUUGAAAUAUGUUGCGUG